UACGGAGGAUCCAAGCGUUAUCCGGAUUUAUUGGGUUUAAAGGGUGCGUAGGUGGCCUGUUAAGUCAGGGGUGAAAGACGGUAGCUUAACUAUCGCAGUGCCCUUGAUACUGAUGGGCUUGAAUACACUAGAGGUAGGCGGAAUGUGACAAGUAGCGGUGAAAUGCAUAGAUAUGUCACAGAACACCAAUUGCGAAGGCAGCUUACUAUGGUGCGAUUGACACUGAGGCACGAAAGCGUGGGGAUCAAACAGG
RNAcentral lists this ribosomal RNA (253 nucleotides) under uncultured bacterium. Its description in RNAcentral is "partial 16S ribosomal RNA". It matches the Rfam family "Bacterial small subunit ribosomal RNA", at positions 524 to 776 of the family's 1533-position model. The record is from RNAcentral.